RNAcentral lists this ribosomal RNA (671 nucleotides) under Pseudovibrio sp. RNAcentral's name for it is "bacterial SSU rRNA". It matches the Rfam family "Bacterial small subunit ribosomal RNA", at positions 24 to 741 of the family's 1533-position model. The record is from RNAcentral. Lineage: Bacteria; Pseudomonadati; Pseudomonadota; Alphaproteobacteria; Hyphomicrobiales; Stappiaceae.
UCAGAACGAACGCUGGCGGCAGGCCUAACACAUGCAAGUCGAACGGAUCCUUCGGGAUUAGUGGCAGACGGGUGAGUAACGCGUGGGAAGCUACCUUGUGGUAGGGAACAACAGUUGGAAACGACUGCUAAUACCCUAUGAGCCCUAUGGGGGAAAGAUUUAUCGCCAUGAGAUGUGCCCGCGUUAGAUUAGCUAGUUGGUAAGGUAAUGGCUUACCAAGGCGACGAUCUAUAGCUGGUCUGAGAGGAUGAUCAGCCACACUGGGACUGAGACACGGCCCAGACUCCUACGGGAGGCAGCAGUGGGGAAUAUUGGACAAUGGGGGCAACCCUGAUCCAGCCAUGCCGCGUGAGUGAUGACGGCCUUAGGGUUGUAAAGCUCUUUCAGCAGUGAAGAUAAUGACAUUAACUGCAGAAGAAGCCCCGGCUAACUUCGUGCCAGCAGCCGCGGUAAUACGAAGGGGGCUAGCGUUGUUCGGAAUCACUGGGCGUAAAGCGUACGUAGGCGGACUGAUCAGUCAGGGGUGAAAUCCCGGGGCUCAACCCCGGAACUGCCUUUGAUACUGUCAGUCUUGAGAUCGAGAGAGGUGAGUGGAACUCCGAGUGUAGAGGUGAAAUUCGUAGAUAUUCGGAAGAACACCAGUGGCGAAGGCGGCUCACUGGCUCGAUACU